AUUUGUACCUAAUACAACAUUUGUAUAACAUGUCGAAAGUUGUAUUAUGUACAUGAGU
RNAcentral lists this microRNA precursor (58 nucleotides) under Monodelphis domestica (gray short-tailed opossum). RNAcentral's name for it is "microRNA mdo-mir-7390 precursor". Lineage: Eukaryota; Metazoa; Chordata; Mammalia; Didelphimorphia; Didelphidae. The record is from miRBase by way of RNAcentral.